This 68-nucleotide transfer RNA is filed under the name Marmota monax (woodchuck). Its description in RNAcentral is "tRNA.Val". The stretch from base 5 to 65 matches the Rfam family "tRNA", at positions 6 to 65 of the family's 71-position model. Rfam says of the family: Transfer RNA (tRNA) molecules are approximately 80 nucleotides in length. Their secondary structure includes four short double-helical elements and three loops (D, anti-codon, and T loops). Further hydrogen bonds mediate the characteristic L-shaped molecular structure. tRNAs have two regions of fundamental functional importance: the anti-codon, which is responsible for specific mRNA codon recognition, and the 3' end, to which the tRNAs corresponding amino acid is attached (by aminoacyl-tRNA synthetases). tRNAs cope with the degeneracy of the genetic code in two manners: having more than one tRNA (with a specific anti-codon) for a particular amino acid; and 'wobble' base-pairing, i.e. permitting non-standard base-pairing at the 3rd anti-codon position. Lineage: Eukaryota; Metazoa; Chordata; Mammalia; Rodentia; Sciuridae. The record is from RNAcentral.
GGAUUGUGGCUUAGUGGUAGAGCACUCGCCUAACAUGUGUGAGGCCCUGGGUUCCAUCCUUAGCACCA